GACGAACGCUGGCGGCGUGCUUAACACAUGCAAGUCGAACGGAAAGGCCUCUUUCGGGGGGUACUCGAGUGGCGAACGGGUGAGUAACACGUGAGUAACCUGCCCUUGACUUUGGGAUAACUUCAGGAAACUGGGGCUAAUACCGGAUAGGAGCUCCUGCUGCAUGGUGGGGGUUGGAAAGUUUCGGCGGUUGGGGAUGGACUCGCGGCUUAUCAGGUUGUUGGUGGGGUAGUGGCUUACCAAGGCUUUGACGGGUAGCCGGCCUGAGAGGGUGACCGGCCCCAUUUGGACUGGGAUUCAGCCCAGGCCUCUACGGGGGGCAGCAGGGGGGAAUAUUGCACCAUGGGUGGGAGCCCGAAGCCGCAACGGCCGUGGCGGGAUGACGGCCUUCGGGUUGUAAACCCCUUUCGCUUAAGACGGAGCUUUUGGUGACGGUAGGGGGUAAAGAAGCAACGGCUAACUUAGUG
Molecule: ribosomal RNA, 467 nt
Filed under: uncultured bacterium
Lineage: Bacteria
Description: partial 16S ribosomal RNA
Rfam family: Bacterial small subunit ribosomal RNA
Source: RNAcentral